RNAcentral lists this ribosomal RNA (352 nucleotides) under uncultured soil bacterium. Its description in RNAcentral is "bacterial SSU rRNA". It matches the Rfam family "Bacterial small subunit ribosomal RNA", at positions 26 to 369 of the family's 1533-position model. The record is from RNAcentral.
AGGACGAACGCUGGCGGCGCGCUUAAUACAUGCAAGUCGAGCGAGAACCGGACCUUCGGGUCCGGGGAAAGCGGCGAACGGGUGAGUAACACGUGGGUAAUCUGCCCUCGGUACUGGGAUAGCCCGGGGAAACCCGGAUUAAUACCGGAUAGCCUUUCGAGCUCUCGGGCUCGUUAGAAAAAUGGUGGCUUCGGCUUCCGACUGAGGAUGAGCCCGCGGCGGAUUAGCUUGUUGGUGAGGUAAUGGCUCACCAAAGGCUCCGAUCCGUAGCUGGUCUGAGAGGACGAUCAGCCACACUGGGACUGAGACACGGCCCAGACUCCUACGGGAGCAGCAGUAGGGAAUCUUGCGC